This is a non-coding RNA of Danio rerio (zebrafish), 400 nucleotides long. Lineage: Eukaryota; Metazoa; Chordata; Actinopteri; Cypriniformes; Danionidae. The record is from RefSeq and is a predicted model, not a curated record.
AUGCCAGCUGAUCCAGCCGAGGCUCGAGUCAGCAUCCUUGCUUAUUGGAUGCCUGAUUGCAGUUCAACUCCAAACUCAGUUGGACCAGCUGAUCAGUGUCUUCAGAAUUACCACAAGCUUCUGGGCAGAUGUGUGGACAGCUAUGAGCCAAACUUGGGACGUUUGGCUUUUAGCAGGUGGAGAGACCGUCUGGGCAGCAGAAACAAGACAACUAAUCAUAGUCCUCCUGAUCAUUCUGUUCUCCUGGUUGUGAGGAUGUGCAGAGGCUGUAUUUGUCAGUGUUAAAAGACUUGUGCAGCUGUAUGCAGACAUACAAGCAGCUGACAAAGAGUUCUGGAGCAGGACAGACAGGGCAGCACGGUGGCGCAGAGGGUAGCACGUUGCCUCACAGCAAGAAGGU